RNAcentral lists this ribosomal RNA (399 nucleotides) under uncultured soil bacterium. RNAcentral describes it as "bacterial SSU rRNA". It matches the Rfam family "Bacterial small subunit ribosomal RNA", at positions 975 to 1375 of the family's 1533-position model. The record is from RNAcentral.
CUGGUCUUGACAUCCUGGGAAUCCCGUAAAGAUAUGGGAGUGCCGCAAGGAGCCCANANACAGGUGCUGCAUGGCUGUCGUCAGCUCGUGUCGUGAGAUGUUGGGUUAAGUCCCGCAACGAGCGCAACCCUUGUCCUUAGUUGCCAGCAUUCAGUUGGGCACUCUAAGGAGACUGCCGGUGACAAACCGGAGGAAGGUGGGGAUGACGUCAAAUCAUCAUGCCCCUUAUGACCUGGGCUACACACGUGCUACAAUGGAUGGUACAAAGGGUUGCGAGACCGCGAGGUUUAGCCAAUCCCAUAAAACCAUUCUCAGUUCGGAUUGUAGGCUGCAACUCGCCUACAUGAAGCCGGAAUCGCUAGUAAUCGUGGAUCAGCAUGCCACGGUGAAUACGUUCCC